RNAcentral lists this ribosomal RNA (441 nucleotides) under uncultured bacterium. RNAcentral describes it as "partial 16S ribosomal RNA". It matches the Rfam family "Bacterial small subunit ribosomal RNA", at positions 338 to 795 of the family's 1533-position model. The record is from RNAcentral.
CCUACGGGGUGCAGCAGUGGGGGAUAUUGCACAAUGGGGGGAACCCUGAUGCAGCGACGCCGCGUGGGUGAAGGAGUGCUUCGGCAUGUAAAGCCCUAUCGGCAGGGAAGAAGCAAGACGGUACCUGACUAAGAAGCCCCGGCUAACUACGUGCCAGCAGCCGCGGUAAUACGUAGGGGGCGAGCGUUAUCCGGAUUCACUGGGUGUAAAGGGAGCGUAGACGGCCAUGCCAGCCAGGGGUGAAAGCCCGGGGCCCAACCCCGGGACUGCCCUUGGAACUGUGCGGCUAGAGUGCGGGAGGGGCAGGCGGAAUUCCUGGUGUAGCGGUGAAAUGCGUAGAUAUCAGGAGGAACACCGGCGGCGAAGGCGGCCUGCUGGACCGCGACUGACGUUGAGGCUCGAAAGCGUGGGGAGCGAACAGGAUUAGAUACCCCUGUAGUC